GACCAGCUUUUCUGACCUUGUGCAGCUGUCUGUUCUAGCUGACCGGUGCAGCCAGCACUGCCAGCAGUGUAUUUCAGGCAAGAACUCAGCCGCACUUGCAGAGGGACCAUUUGGAUGCAAGAAGUGGCAGGAAGAAGGGAGCAGCUCCUGGAAUCCCGUCAUGAGGUGCUCUGUCCAGACUCAGAUCUGGGAAACAAGGGGCUUCAGCGAUGGCUGGCCAGGUGGUUGACAAGCUUGUCCCUGAGCAGCCCUGCAAAUGCCGGGCUCCCCACCUCCCUGCUCAGCAGCUGAGCCCUGCAAAUACACUCACUGUUUUCAGUCUAAUGACAGUCCUUGUAAUCUCUUCAUUUGUCCUGUGAUCUGAACACUUCCUUCUGAUUAGUUUUUAUUUUUAAUUAUUUUUAGUUAGCAUACAAAAUAAAAUGUCUUCACUGUGACAUUUUAUACAGACUGUAGUUUGCUUAUGCUCACCCUCUGCUAGACUCCCUUUCCCCUCCCCGACGAGGUUAGUCCUCUCCCUCCUCCUGUUUCCCUCAUGCCUUCAUGUUACCCAUGUUCAAAUCUAGAUUCCACAUAUGAGAGGAAAGAUGUAACCUGUCUUGUCCCCUCCUAGUCUCUCUUGGUCCCCAACCUCUCUACCACCCUCCUUCCUCUUCUUUCUAACUUUACUGGACACUUGGGGCAAUCACUUCAACCCCAGUUUGCUUGUACUUGAGAAGGGGGCAGUGGACAGGAGCCCUCAGUGAUAUGUGUAUGUGUGUGUAUGUGGUGUGUAUGCUGUCUAUGAGUGUGUGUAUGUGGCGUGUAUGCUGUCUAUGAGUGUGUGUGUGUGUGUAUGUGGUGUAUAUGCUGUGUAUGAGUGUGUGUGUAUGUGCUGUGUAUGCUGUCUAUGAGUGUGUGUAUGUUGUCUAUGAGUGUGUAUGUAUGUGUAUGUGGUGUGUAUGCUGUGUAUGUGGUGUGUAUGCUGUGUAUGUGUGUGUGUGUGUAUGUGGUGUGUAUGCUGUCUAUGAGUGUGUAUGUGUAUGUGGUGUGUAUGCUGUGUAUGAGUGUGUGUGUGUAUGUGGUGUGUAUGCUGUGUAUGAGUGUGUAUGUGUAUGUGGUGUGUAUGCUGUGUAUGAGUGUGUGUGUAUGUGGUGUGUAUACUGUCUAUGAGUGUGUGUGUAUAUGUGGUGUGUAUGCUGUCUAUGAGUGUGGUGGUCACCAUGGGCUCAUACACUUGAACACUUGGUCCUAGGUUGGUAGGGCUGUUUGGGAGGCUAUGGACACUUUAGGAGGUGCAGCCAUGCUAGAAGGGCAGGCCUUUUCAGGGUUUAUAUCCCCACCCUGCUUCCUGCUGCCCCUCGGCUCCCUGUGUACGGGUGAAAUGCUGCCAGCUGGCUUUCUGUUCUGAUGCCAUACCAUGCUGCCAUCCCUGGCCGGGAAGGAUUCUAUUUCUCUGGGACCAUAAAGCAAACCCUUUCUUCUGUAGGUUGUUUCUCUACGUUAUCACAGCGACAGAAGGGUAGCACAUCAGGUAGUGGUCCAUCUUCUCUUUCCUUCAUAACUCCUCCAGCACACAGAGCUUAUCAACCUGCUUUUCUAUUGAACAAAUAGACCUUCCAUGCCAAAAAAGGCAAGAUGGCAAGGUCACCUUUUAAACGAGAUGUCACCUUACAACUUCUCUGGUCUUAGCAAGUCACAAAGGAAGGUAAGAGUCAGGACAGAUUUCAGGAGGGUUCUGUCAGACAACAGUGCCUGGUGACCACAGAAGCACCAGAGCUCCAGCACAGGGAUCCACGAGGCCUCUGUGACAUCACAAAAUCAGUACCUGCUGGCCUUGUUCAGGUAGAACCAUCAAGAGGCCUUCAGAAGGAGACGAACGAGUAAAUGACUCGAGGAGACAGAGGGACAGGAGCAUGACAAGGAAGCCUAGGCUGUUAGAGACUGGUGUGCAGUCAUCUGGCCCCGGGAUCACAGGGAAUGCAAAGACGCUGACGCAGUGGCGAGGAAGGUUACAGUGUAAAGCUUUUGCCUAUUUACAUUUUAAAUGUACUUUCUGGUGACUAAGAAAAUGAAAAAUCAGUGCAAGCACCCUGUCCAAUCUUGAAAGCCUGUGAGAAAAGCACCCAGCAUGAAGAGACCCCUCCCUGUCAGUAAGGGCAGGGAGUCAUGGGGUAAGUCCCCUUAAACACCCAGCAUGGAGACACCCCUCCCUUUGUUAGUAAGGGCACUGAGUCAUGGGGUAAGUCCCUUUUAUACUUAAGACGCAAUCUCCCGUAGGAAAUUUAGAACAAUAACUUGCGCCUUGGCAGUUUUAUGGUCCAGGCUAUUGAGCUAGCUUCAAGAUGCACGAAUCCCUUGAGGGAAAGCCAGGACACAGUGGAAGGCAGCUCAAGAACGAACAUCAUUUACUUGUGAACGGCGGUCUUAGAACUGCUUGUUUGCCUCUGACACUUGAGGACGAGAGUAACCAGUACACAUUUUGGACAAGCCUGGGAAGUUACCUUAUCUAUUUUGUGGAAAAUUAUGCCUCGGAAACCAUCAUGUUGGUGCAGAGGGAAAGCCCCCGCACUUUGGCUAUAAGUAAAGCCGAGCAGAAAGCCUCUGUUUUCAAGCAAAUUGGAAAAUGAUCGCUUCCACGACGCAGGAUUACAGUUUCUAUAGCGCACAAGUGCUCAUUACAAAUGAACUAUCGUGUUUAUCAUCAGAGAGGGCAGAAGAAUGGCGGACAGGAGUCGAGCCAACACCACCCAUUACUGAGCCUGCCCAUGGCUGAACAAUAGUUUCAAUACACAAAGCCAAGGAGCAGAGUGCAGGCCUCCAUCCUGCAUCACCGGGACAACGGAUGUUCAAAAUCACACUUGGAACUUCCCUCCAGCUUCGGAAACACUGGUUUGUGUUUACCCAGCAAAGCCAAUCGCAGCUGUCUGGGUAGCAGGACUCCUGGUUACGCCUGCUGCUUAACCCUCAAGGCUCAACAGGAGACUAUGUGGCUUAUCUGAGGGGGUCAGAGUUUGCAGAUGCCCCCACUGCACCUACAUCUGACAGGGUCCUGAGCCCCUGGGGUGGCUUCGGCUGUGAGCCCACGGGGUAGCGUGCCAGCUCACUGCCUGGCCUACAGCAGUGGCUCAGAACGUGUCUGUCCAGUUGGUGUCAGAUUUUUGAGCUAACCCGGGCCUCACACACUGGGGUUCCUACCUGGUUAAAUGAUUCAGUAUCGGUUGAAUUAUGAUGUUAAUUAGGAAGUGGCAUCAGGAGAAAACAGAGUCUGAAAGCAUCAGCAGUUCUCAUCCCAAAUGUGAAAGGCUUAGGAGGGCUAUGUCUUCCAUUCCUUUCCCAACUCCUCAGACAUUUAUAGUUAAUUAAUAUUAAUGGUAGAAGAUCAUUCCACUGUGAUAUGAAGUGAUAAAUUUGAAAUCAGACUACAAGUCCACAAGCGCCUCUGUAAUUGUAGCUGCUUUGUUUUAGCAAAAACCCAAGUACUGCUUGAUGCUGUGGGGCUCCCUGGUCAUCGGGCAACAGAGUCAGCUUUGUGCGAUGGGAUUCCCAGUUAGUUUGCUGGUAUCAGCGGCUGCUAACAGGCGGGGGCUUCAGCCACGGGAGCUAAUGGUGCUGUGGGCGCAUGAACGUGGGUCCUUUUGUUUAAAUCUGUGACUUCCGCAGUAGGUUGGCGCAGGACUGGAUCUUCAGUUGGAGCUGUGAUAUAAAUAAACGGGCUUCCUGGAUCCUCCCUUCCAACACCCAGGGUAAGUCAGAGAAGAGGCUGGAGAGUGGGAAGACCCAGCAGCUCCCUGGAAGACACGACUAGCUACCCUGGCCUGGUUCAGCUGUGCAGUGCUGCGCCUUGCCUGCCCAAGGCCCUGUCCUGAAGCAGAAAUGCUUCCCUCACGCUGAGGCUCUGGGCACCAGAGAUGAACUAGCCACAGCUGUUAAGAUGGCUUCUGUGGCAGUCACGACCACAGGUUCUCUGGGACAAGUUUAAUAUGCAAUGCUACGGGGAGGGAGAAGGAAAACCAAGCAGGUCCACACUGCCAAGCCAUGCCACCAAGGGCACAGACAUCCCUGUGUUAUUUGUGAUUGUAACACGGGCUCCGAGCUAUUGUAUGACUUUGGAUAAAAGAAGGAAAACGAGGUCUGGGAAGAGAAAGCUCCCCCUCCCCUCCCCCACAGCAGCUGGCAAAUGUGUGCUACCAGAUGAUCACCGCCCUGAAACUCCGCUCUACAACUUUGUAAGAGAUGUUUAUUACUGAUACUCAGUGCAUAAUUUACAACACUGUGCUGAAAUUCACUUACACUCCAUUUCAAGGGAUUGUGAAAAGAAAAUGUCAACUGUGGGGGAAAUACACUUUAUGGGUCUUGGCUUAAAACAAAAGGAAAAACACACAUGCGAGUCCCUCUCGGUGGAAGGAAAUAGUUUAAUAAAUGGCCUAAUGAACAGUG
Non-coding RNA from Rattus norvegicus (Norway rat), 4419 nucleotides. Lineage: Eukaryota; Metazoa; Chordata; Mammalia; Rodentia; Muridae. The record is from RefSeq and is a predicted model, not a curated record.